UACGGAGGGAGCUAGCGUUGUUCGGAAUUACUGGGCGUAAAGCGCACGUAGGCGGCUUUGUAAGUUAGAGGUGAAAGCCCGGAGCUCAACUCCGGAACUGCCUUUAAGACUGCAUCGCUUGAAUCCAGGAGAGGUGAGUGGAAUUCCGAGUGUAGAGGUGAAAUUCGUAGAUAUUCGGAAGAACACCAGUGGCGAAGGCGGCUCACUGGCCCGGUACUAACGCUGAGGUGCGAAAGCGUGGGGAGCAAACAGG
RNAcentral lists this ribosomal RNA (253 nucleotides) under uncultured bacterium. Its description in RNAcentral is "partial 16S ribosomal RNA". It matches the Rfam family "Bacterial small subunit ribosomal RNA", at positions 524 to 776 of the family's 1533-position model. The record is from RNAcentral.